CUAUUUAUAUAGACGCCAUCUUCCGAUGCUUCCCACAAUCAGCUAAUCCCACACUCUCUUUUCUCUACCUACAAAAAAAAAAAAUCAUCUAAGUUCUAACGAUGAAUCACCAACAACAAUCUCCUGCAGUGACUGCAUAUCCAGCAGGGGCUCAGAGCAACCUAGCAGCUCCACCACCACCUGUAGGUUAUCCCACUAAGGAUGAUCUUCCUUCCCAACAAAAUGUUCCUGUCAAAACCACUACCAGGGGUGGUGGCUUCUGGAGCGGAUGUUGUACGGCACUCCGCUGUGGUUGCAGUGCCAUGGAAUGUCUGGAUUGUUGUUUCUCCUCCUCUUGAACAUCCCUUCACUUUAUGGAUUUGAGCUUGUUCUCUCUGUCUUUUGUUAUUUUCUUUACCAGAUUAAUUUUGUAUCUUGUUGAUCUUUUUGUACUUUGUGGAAGGGAACUAAUAGCAUGCAUGGACCAUUAUUGCAAUUUUCAGUUAAGAAUUUGAUCAGUUAUCAGU
Molecule: long non-coding RNA, 506 nt
Organism: Glycine soja
Lineage: Eukaryota; Viridiplantae; Streptophyta; Magnoliopsida; Fabales; Fabaceae
Exons: 3
Source: RefSeq, a predicted model, not a curated record